Molecule: ribosomal RNA, 491 nt
Filed under: uncultured bacterium
Lineage: Bacteria
Description: partial 16S ribosomal RNA
Rfam family: Bacterial small subunit ribosomal RNA
Source: RNAcentral
AGUGAACGCUGGCGGUAGGCCUAACACAUGCAAGUCGAACGGCAGCACAGAAGAGCUUGCUCUUACGGGUGGCGAGUGGCGGACGGGUGAGGAAUACAUCGGAAUCUACUUUUUCGUGGGGGAUAACGUAGGGAAACUUACGCUAAUACCGCAUACUACCUACGGGUGAAAGCAGGGGAUCUUCGGACCUUGCUCGAUUGAAUGAGCCGAUGUCGGAUUAGCUAGUUGGCGGGGUAAAGGCCCACCAAGGCCACGAUCCGUAGCUGGUCUGAGAGGAUGAUCAGCCACACUGGAACUGAGACACGGUCCAGACUCCUACGGGAGGCAGCAGUGGGGAAUAUUGGACAAUGGGCGCAAGCCUGAUACAGCCAUACCGCGUGGGUGAAGAAGGCCUUCGGGUUGUAAAGCCCUUUUGUUGGGAAAGAAAAGCAGCAGGUUAAUACCCCGCUGUUCUGACGGUACCCAAAGAAUAAGCACCGGCUAACUUCGUG